UACGUAGGGUGCAAGCGUUGUCCGGAAUUAUUGGGCGUAAAGAGCUCGUAGGCGGUUUGUCGCGUCUGCUGUGAAAACGCGAGGCUCAACCUCGCGCCUGCAGUGGGUACGGGCAGACUAGAGUGCGGUAGGGGAGAUUGGAAUUCCUGGUGUAGCGGUGGAAUGCGCAGAUAUCAGGAGGAACACCGGUGGCGAAGGCGGAUCUCUGGGCCUGUUCUGACGCUGAGGCGCGAAAGCUAGGGGAGCGAAUGGG
This 253-nucleotide ribosomal RNA is filed under the name uncultured bacterium. Its description in RNAcentral is "partial 16S ribosomal RNA". It matches the Rfam family "Bacterial small subunit ribosomal RNA", at positions 524 to 776 of the family's 1533-position model. The record is from RNAcentral.